This 502-nucleotide ribosomal RNA is filed under the name uncultured bacterium. RNAcentral's name for it is "partial 16S ribosomal RNA". It matches the Rfam family "Bacterial small subunit ribosomal RNA", at positions 28 to 523 of the family's 1533-position model. The record is from RNAcentral.
GACGAACGCUGGCGGCGUGCUUAACACAUGCAAGUCGAACGAUGAAGCUGGAGCUUGCUCCGGUGGAUUAGUGGCGAACGGGUGAGUAACACGUGAGCAAUCUGCCCUUGACUCUGGGAUAACUGCGGGAAACUGUAGCUAAUACCGGAUACGACACCUUGGGGCAUCCCAGGGUGUGGAAAGAAUUUCGGUCAAGGAUGAGCCCGCGGCCCAACAGCGAGUUGGCGGGGUAACGGCCCACCAAGGCAACGACGGGUAGCUGGUCUGAGAGGACGAUCAGCCACACUGGAACUGAGACACGGUCCAGACUCCUACGGGAGGCAGCAGUGGGGAAUUUUCCACAGUGGGCGAAAGCCUGAUGGAGCAACGCCGCGUGUGUGAUGAAGGUCUUCGGAUCGUAAAGCACUUUCGACUGGGACGAAAAACCUUUGGCUAACAUCCAGGGGCCUGACGGUACCAGGAGAAGAAGCACCGGCUAACUCUGUGCCAGCCGCCGCCGUAA